UAGUGGCGGACGGGUGAGUAACGCGUGGGUAACCUGCCUUAUACAGGGGGAUAACAGUCAGAAAUGGCUGCUAAUACCGCAUAAGCGCACAGAGCUGCAUGGCUCAGUGUGAAAAACUCCGGUGGUAUAAGAUGGACCCGCGUCCGAUUAGCUAGUUGGUGAGGUAAUGGCCCACCAAGGCGACGAUCGGUAGCCGGACUGAGAGGUUGAACGGCCACAUUGGGACUGAGACACGGCCCAGACUCCUACGGGAGGCAGCAGUGGGGAAUAUUGCACAAUGGGGGAAACCCUGAUGCAGCGACGCCGCGUGGAGGAAGAAGGUCUUCGGAUUGUAAACUCCUGUUGUUGGGGAAGAUAAUGACGGUACCCAACAAGGAAGUGACGGCUAACUACGUGCCAGCAGCCGCGGUAAAACGUAGGUCACAAGCGUUGUCCGGAAUUACUGGGUGUAAAGGGAGCGCAGGCGGGAAGACAAGUUGGAAGUGAAAUCUAUGGGCUCAACCCAUAAACUGCUUUCAAAACUGUUUUUCUUGAGUAGUGCAGAGGUAGGCGGAAUUCCCGGUGUAGCGGUGGAAUGCGUAGAUAUCGGGAGGAACACCAGUGGCGAAGGCGGCCUACUGGGCACCAACUGACGCUGAGGCACGAAAGUGUGGGUAGCAAACAGGAUUAGAUACCCUGGUAGUCCACACUGUAAACGAUGAUUACUAGGUGUAGGGGGUCUAACCCCCUCCGUGCCGGAGUUAACACAAUAAGUAAUCCACCUGGGGAGUACGACCGCAAGGUUGAAACUCAAAGGAAUUGACGGGGGCCCGCACAAGCAGUGGAGUAUGUGGUUUAAUUCGAAGCAACGCGAAGAACCUUACCAGGUCUUGACAUCCGAUGCAUAGUGCAGAGAUGCAUGAAGUCCUUCGGGACAUCGAGACAGGUGGUGCAUGGUUGUCGUCAGCUCGUGUCGUGAGAUGUUGGGUUAAGUCCCGCAACGAGCGCAACCCUUAUUGCCAGUUACUACGAAAGAGGACUCUGGCGAGACUGCCGUUGACAAAACGGAGGAAGGUGGGGAUGACGUCAAAUCAUCAUGCCCCUUAUGAUUUGGGCUACACACGUGCUACAAUGGCGUAAACAAAGGGAAGCGAGAUUGUGAGAUGGAGCAAAUCCCAAAAAUAACGUCCCAGUUCGGACUGUAGUCUGCAACCCGACUACACGAAGCUGGAAUCGCUAGUAAUCGCGGAUCAGAAUGUCGCGGUGAAUACGUUCCCGGGUCUUGCACACACCGCCCGUCA
RNAcentral lists this ribosomal RNA (1280 nucleotides) under uncultured bacterium. RNAcentral describes it as "bacterial SSU rRNA". It matches the Rfam family "Bacterial small subunit ribosomal RNA", at positions 93 to 1399 of the family's 1533-position model. The record is from RNAcentral.